Molecule: transfer RNA, 66 nt
Filed under: human gut metagenome
Rfam family: tRNA
About the family: Transfer RNA (tRNA) molecules are approximately 80 nucleotides in length. Their secondary structure includes four short double-helical elements and three loops (D, anti-codon, and T loops).
Source: RNAcentral
GGUAUAGCCAAGUGGUAAGGCAUCAGACUUUGACUCUGACAUUCCGCUGGUUCGAGUCCAGCUAUC